RNAcentral lists this ribosomal RNA (460 nucleotides) under uncultured bacterium. RNAcentral's name for it is "partial 16S ribosomal RNA". It matches the Rfam family "Bacterial small subunit ribosomal RNA", at positions 338 to 795 of the family's 1533-position model. The record is from RNAcentral.
CCUACGGGAGGCAGCAGUGAGGAAUAUUGGUCAAUGGGCGCGAGCCUGAACCAGCCACGUAGCGUGAAGGAUGACUGCCCUCCGGGUUGUAAACUUCUUUUAUAAAGGAAUAAAGUGAGGCACGUGUCCCUUUUUGUAUGUACUUUAUGAAUAAGGAUCGGCUAACUCAGUGCCAGCCGCCGCGGUAAUCCGGAGGAUCCGAGCGUUAUCCGGAUUUAUUGGGUUUAAAGGGAGCGUAGAUGGGUUGGUAAGUCAGUUGUGAAAGUUUGCGGCUCAACCGUAAAAUUGCAAUUGAUACUGGCAGUCUUGAGUACAGUGGAGGUAGGCGGAAUUCGUGGUGUAGCGGUGAAAUGCUUAGAUAUCACGAAGAACUCCGAUUGCGAAGGCAGCUUACUAAACGGCCACUGACAUUGAUGCGCGAAAGUGUGGGUAGCAAACAGGAUUAGAUACCCCGGUAGUC